UAAGUACUCCCUCCAUCUGAAAAUACAUGUUGGAGCAUGGAUGUAUCUAGUCAUAUUUUAGUUCUAGAUACAUCCAUUUUAUCCAUUUCUCGGACAAGUAUUUUCGGACAGAGGGGGUAUAAC
Molecule: non-coding RNA, 123 nt
Organism: Triticum aestivum (bread wheat)
Lineage: Eukaryota; Viridiplantae; Streptophyta; Magnoliopsida; Poales; Poaceae
Source: Rfam